This 424-nucleotide ribosomal RNA is filed under the name uncultured bacterium. RNAcentral's name for it is "bacterial SSU rRNA". It matches the Rfam family "Bacterial small subunit ribosomal RNA", at positions 354 to 796 of the family's 1533-position model. The record is from RNAcentral.
GUGGGGAAUUUUGCGCAAUGGGGGGAACCCUGACGCAGCGACGCCUCGUGAAUGAUGAAGUCUUUAGGGAUGUAAAGUUCUGUUAAUAGGGACGAUUAUGACGGUACCUGUAGAGGAAGCUCCGGCAAAUUACGUGCCAGCAGCCGCGGUAAUACGUAAGGAGCUAGCGUUGUCCGGAUUUAUUGGGCAUAAAGCGUGCGUAGGCCGUUUUGUAAGUUAGAUGUAAAAACCAGGGGCUUAACCCCUGUAAGCCUCUAAAACUGCAAGACUAGAGAACGGGAGAGGAAAGCGGAACUCACAGUGUAGCGGUGAAAUGCGUAGAUAUUGUGAGGAACACCGGUGGCGAAGGCGGCUUUCUGGACCGUUUCUGACGCUGAGGUACGAAAGCGUGGGGAGCAAACAGGAUUAGAAACCCCGGUAGUCC